AUCUCUUAUAAUAUCAGAAAAUAAUAAAAUAAGACACCUAAAAUUAUUAUUAUAGAAAUAAAAACUCACGCUCCAAUAUUUCCUUCAUCACUUUGAGGAAAUCCAAAACCUAAUAGUUCAUCUCCUGGUAAUUUGCUCUUGCUAUUGGUGAUUUACUCUUCCUCAAAAAUAAUGGCUCAACCCUCUCACUUUCCUUCCUAGAAAAACCCUAGAAUCCAAAUUUCACUGUCAAAUUCAUACAAAUUCCAUAUUGAUUCUUAAAUUCCAUUUCAAUUAUAUAAAAAAUGGCAUCGGAUAUUGAGGAGGUGGAAUCAAUAAAUGUUGAAUCAUCAUUGUCUUCGACGACAGUUAACGGUGGCGUCGAGGAGGAGAAUUUAAAGAACUAUGUGUAUACUGCAGUUGGACGCCGUGUGCGAUUUUGAGUGCUUCUUUAGCUAUUUUCUCUUUGUUUUUUGGGCAGAUGAAUGCUUUACCUAUUUCUUCUGAUUUAGGGUAUUUAUUUUUGCAGCUUUCUUGGUUUCGUAGGUAUGUAUAUGAAUUCUUUCUUUCACUACAUGAGCAAGUGUUAAUGUUUUCUCUUCCAUUUAUUCUUCAAAUUCUGAGAUUACCUUCUGAAAAAACAAAAAAAACAAAAUAAAAAUAAAAAUCUAAGAUUAUCCUUCCUUAUGUGGUGACAAAUUCAAGAAUGAGAAGUUUGUGCUAAAACAAUUUACCUUAUAUGGUUUGGGAAAGUUGAGAAUUUGUCGGGUCUAUUUUUUUUUUUUUUUUUGGAAUGAGAUCUUGUUUAUACCCAUCAAUUGAUGAUACUAAUUGUGCAAUUUUACUUAAAAAUCUUAUUUUUGCUGAACUUUGUUGGGUAUAAGAGAUUAUCUUUUGGAUUGUAGUCUAUUCAGGUGUUGGCUUAUAUACUUACAAAAUGUCUCGCAUAAGGUAUCCAUGUAGGUAGCAUCCACCUAUAUCAGUUGACUCAAGUCAAACUAGGGACUGAAAUAUUAUUCUGCAACAGAUGGAUUAUAAAAAAAUGGCUAAAAUAAGAAUGCCACAUUUUCUUCCCAAAAAGUUAAUUAAACACUUUCAGAUAAACAUCUAAAUGAAAUAUAAAUUGCAACAGUAUUUCAAUGAUGUUAGGAGUUUCUCAUGUGGUGUUUAACUUUCUAUAAGAUUGUCAGUGAAAAAAUAUUGGAGCUACACACAUUACCCUUGUGCUUUUGACUUCAUAUAUGUAAUGCCUUAUUUUUAAGCUCAUAUGUUAUCAAGAAUCAUGCCUCUUGCAUUAAGAAAUACCCAAUAAGUAGGUUUCUGAACAUUGAGACCUUUUAAUGUUUAUGUCGUUUUAUGUGUUAGAUACUUGGCGUAGUUUGCUGAACUUUUGACUGAUUUAUUAAAUAGCACAGAGCAUGUAACAGAAAAAUCACAAACAACCCAGUGCUUGUAAUGACAAGAUGAUAGGAUGAAAUUAAUGGCUUCAAUUCGUAAAAGGAUAUUAUAUCUGUGAUCAUCGCCAUCGUUUCUUACUAUGGAUAUAGUUAGAACAACUCACAUAUAUUUUCUUUGACACAAAUUAAACAACAAUUAUAUAGGUUGCCUCUAUUUCAUGUAGCUACCACAAGAUUUAGUUGUAUACUUGUAUUACUCAAGCAUUUAUAGUUUAGAACAUUUAUUUCUUCUUAACUAUUGUAAAUUCUUAAUUCUUUGUUUUUAACUUUUCUGUAUAAAUCCGUUACUAUGAAGUCAUCAACAAACAUUUUUCCUCUUAUUUCUUCCCAAUAAGAUGAAGUUAUCAUAUCCUUAUCAGGAGUAAGUGGAGCAGCUUAAUUUUUUAAAAUUUGCUAAGUCGAUGGAAAAGGUAAUUUAUCCCGUGUUUACUGCACAAAAUUACAAUGUGAAAUACUUUGAAGUUCAAGAGUCAUUUUUUCUGGCUGUAACAUAGAUUUUGCCUAACAUUGUCCAAUUUGAUAGAUUUUCUAUUAUGAUCCUGAGAUGGAUAGUGAACCAAUGUACUUUCAUGAUGCCUUUCUUUGUAGUCAAGCUUUGGAGGGCAUAUUGAUAUGUAUGGUCUGUAAAUACAUGUUAAUGGUAAUUCUCAGCUUUUAUUGGAUGCAAUUUUAAUGAAAUUUUACUUUACCUAAUCUAAAACAAUAAUAAUGGUAAAGUGUUUUAACUCCUGCUUCUUAUUGUUUAUAUGCAUUAUGUAAUCCUUUGAGAUAAUGUCUUUGACAUUGUGUUAGAAUGACGAGUUGAUGAUUCAUAUUGCGGAAAAUGAUAUUGAAAAUUUGGUCGAUAGUCUCCGAAGCUCGUUUUAUUUUAGCAAAUUUACUAUUUGAUUUAAGUGACAGUUUCAUUAACUUUCUUUGGUUAUACUGACCAUUGUAUCUCUUCUCAACAACUAUGAUAAAAAUUAUUAAAGAAAUGUUGCCCCCACAUGUUCGUGUUGCCCGAGAUGCUCAGAAUCUAUUGAUUAAAUAUUGUGUAGGUGAGUUGAUUUUAAUUUGGCCAAUUUAAUUUUUUAGUUCAGCUAAGUUAUCAUGACGAUUAUGACUAUUCUGUUUAGUAUUGUUUGUUGGUGCUGAGCUGUUGGUUCCAUAGAUGUUCUCACUAGUGUGUGUCUUUGUUAUUUGAACAUGGUUAAUCUAUCUUCCCGUUGCUGUUCUCCCACUAUGGGUUACUAAAUAUCACUUUUCUAAUUAUACUAAGUGCAUACAAAAAUUAUAGCUUGUAAAGCUUACUCAAAGCUUUACAAGUGCUUGACCUGACCCUCUAAUUCUGCUUCUAUGUGUAUCUGAUUGAAGUUAGUUCUGUUUUCCAAUUCUCUGCUGGCACUUUUUACUGUAAGUUUUAUCAGUUUACUCCAAGAUGAGAAAGGUCAGUUCGAACCUGGUGUUUGUCUAAGCUAAAGUUAGGCCAAUAAGGACAAUGAACUACUUGCUUCUCUACGUUGGGGAUAAAUGUGGAUUUUUUUAUUCAUUUAAUUUAUGGAUGCGAGUGUGUGAUUUUGAUAUUUCUUUAGCUAAUUAUUUCUUUUCAUUUAUCGACGAAUGAACGCCUUGACCCGUUUCUUCUGAUUUAGGGUGUUUAUUAUCACAAAUUCUCUUGGUUUGCCAAGUGUGUGUAUGAAAUCUCUAUCGUCUGUGAUCUAGGUAAUUCAUUUAUAUUGCUUUUUUUGUAACUUCGUUGUUAAUUGGGUUACAACUAUAAGUGCUGCGAAAUGUUUAACAUUUGGAUUCCAUGACCUAUUAUGAGGUACUGUAACACUAAAAACCGAAAAAUUUAAUCUUUUUCAAGAAUUACUAUGUCCAUGAGUAAGGUAAUUUCGCUUGUGUUUAUUGUAUAAAAUUGCAGUUUGAGAUACUUUGAGUUUGAGGUAGGGGUGGGCAUAAAAACUGAAAAUCGAACUUUAAAAAUAACUAGUUUUCACUUUUUCUAAACUGGAUCGAUGCAUAUUGUUUACUUCAAGAAACAGCUUCAAAGGAUUAAUGUUGAAUCAAUGAUUAAUCAUUAAGUGGUAUCCUUAUUCGUCACAGGUAGUGCUAAAUACCUAUACAUAUCUCAGAAGUCAGAACCAUCAUCAAAGGAUUAAUCAUUAAGCGGUAUCCUUUUUCUUUUUCCGUUGAAGCUGGUUGUUCCCCGUUGAAACUGGUGGUAUACUAUGUCCUUUCAUGGUGCUAAACUAUUACUUUUCUUUUUAAUUUUUCCCUUAUGACAUGAAUUAAGAUAAACACAGGGUAAGCAGUCAUAUGCUUUCAUCUGAUAUUUCUUUUUAAGGUUUGAUUUUAGAUUUCUCCUUAAGCUAAUGUAAGUACUAUUUGGCUUAUGUCAGCUAAAUGAAUUGUAUAAUACAUGAGUUUGAACACAAAAAUAAUAUUACAUUUAAAGCUUGAAGUUUGGUGCAGAAUUGAAAAUUAUUUAAAGUUGUUCAGAAUGUUCUUUUAAUGCCAACAAAAUUCUUCCAAUGCUGAAGAACAUUUUGUCUUGCUAAAGAAUUUUGUUUUAAGGUUAUUACUGGUGUCUAAAUGUAUGAGCUGGUUACAUUUGAAGGUAAUGAUUUAUUUUUUUGGUUCUAUUGUGGUCAUGAGAACAAAGGGCUUAUUUGUCUAAUGCUUGAGCUGGUUACAUUUGCAGGAGAACGACCAAUACAGUGAAGAACAUACUAAGGUAGUACCAACGUGUUCGUAUUUUCGGUUUAGUGUCACGACCCGGCUAGGGGCCGCGAUGGGUACCCGGCUUUUGUGAAUUUGUCAAUAUAGCUCCUUCUAUAUUGAUGUUUUGACUUUGAAGGGCAUUAGUUACACUCGAUAGAAUGUGUUAGGUAUUGAAGUGUUUGGUUAAUAAGUGAAGUUGCAGGAAAAUAAGACUUUGAUACAAGUUAACAAGAUUCUUGUCAUUUUCUUUUAGUGUUGUUAGGUGAAUAAUUAUAACUCUUUUGUAACAGAUGUUAGAUUUCUUGAAGGAUUGUGUGAACAGUACAAUGACUUAUAUUAUUGUUAUAUAAUUUUGCUAAUGGGGUUUAUUUCUAAACCUUGUUAUGUGAAUUUCAUUUUCUAUGCUAUAAA
Molecule: long non-coding RNA, 4550 nt
Organism: Lycium barbarum (goji berry)
Lineage: Eukaryota; Viridiplantae; Streptophyta; Magnoliopsida; Solanales; Solanaceae
Exons: 3
Source: RefSeq, a predicted model, not a curated record